AGAAUCAACGCUGGCGGCGUGCCUAACACAUGCAAGUCGAACGAGAAAGUGGGAGCAAUCCCACGAGUAAAGUGGCGCACGGGUGAGUAACACGUGACUAACCUACCCUUGAGUGGGGGGAUAACCUAGGGAAACCUGGGCUAAUACCGCAUAAUACCUACGGGUCAAAGGAGCAAUUCGCUUAAGGAGGGGGUCGCGGCAGAUUAGUUAGUUGGCGGGGUAAUGGCCCACCAAGACAGUGAUCUGUAUCCGGCCUGAGAGGGCGCACGGACACACUGGAACUGAAACACGGUCCAGACUCCUACGGGAGGCAGCAGUGGGAAUUUGCGCAAUGGGGGAAACCCUGACGCAGCAACGCCGCGUGGAGGAUGAAGCCCCUUGGGGCGUAAACUCCUUUCGAUCGGGAAGAUAAUGACGGUACCGGAAGAAGAAGCCCGGCUAACUUCGCGCCAGCAGCCGC
RNAcentral lists this ribosomal RNA (460 nucleotides) under uncultured bacterium. Its description in RNAcentral is "SSU rRNA". It matches the Rfam family "Bacterial small subunit ribosomal RNA", at positions 26 to 518 of the family's 1533-position model. The record is from RNAcentral.